RNAcentral lists this unclassified non-coding RNA (292 nucleotides) under uncultured fungus. Its description in RNAcentral is "partial contains 5.8S rRNA and ITS2". The stretch from base 1 to 52 matches the Rfam family "5.8S ribosomal RNA", at positions 103 to 154 of the family's 154-position model. Lineage: Eukaryota; Fungi. The record is from RNAcentral.
AACGCACCUUGCGCUCCUUGGUAUUCCGAGGAGCAUGCCUGUUUGAGUGUCAUGGUACCCUCAACUCCUGUCGCUUUUGCGGCGGGUGUUGGACGUGGAGGUUUGCAGGCGGACUCGUCUGUCUGCUCCUCUGAAAUGCAUUAGCUUUGACUUUUGUCGAGCGCGAUCCGACGUGAUAAUUGUCUGCGUCGUUUCGCCUCUGCAUGAAUAAGGUCUCGGCUUCCAACCGUCCCUCGCGGACAACACUUUAACUUCUGACCUCAAAUCAGGUAGGACUACCCGCUGAACUUAA